AUCAAUCAAAAUGGCUGGCAAGUUCCCUCUUGGUUGAACAAGUAAUUGUUUGAUGGUUGAGAAUUGGAAUGUGCAUUUUGAGGAAGAAGUAAAUAGUUUUGGUUUUAGGUAACACAGAAUGCCAAAGAGUUACAAGAUUGAUGUUGGUGCCUGUGCUUUGCUUAUUGCCUGUAUAGUUGUAUCAAUGAGUUCAUGGCCUGCGGUUACAGAAGCGAGGAUUUCCAAGUUCUCAGCUAUCCAAGAAAGUUUAGUCCGUGAGAGUACAGAAGGACGUCGUCAAAGUCUGAGGGAAAUUCCAGUACGUAAGGCGACUCCCUUACUAGCUCCGCGCCACGGACAUGAUUGAAGUUGCUGGUGUUUUAGAUUGCAAAUUCAUGUAGGAAAUAGAAUUAAGUAUGGUAUGGCUGAUGAUACUGGAACAGAACGUCAAGUUUCCUUUUGUGAAAUUUCUAGGUUUCAAAUUGUAUUGUUCUAACUUUUGUGUUGGGAUUGUAAGACCCUGCCCUUUGAAAGAAAACUACUAGCUGCAACACAAAAUCACAUAUCAAGAGAAAAGGAGCCAAGAUUAUAUGAAAAAUAGCACAGAUCUUAUAUUC
Mangifera indica (mango) is the source of this 596-nucleotide long non-coding RNA. RefSeq lists it as uncharacterized. The record is from RefSeq and is a predicted model, not a curated record. The transcript is spliced from 2 exons. NCBI's taxonomy places the organism in Eukaryota, Viridiplantae, Streptophyta, Magnoliopsida, Sapindales, Anacardiaceae.